RNAcentral lists this ribosomal RNA (255 nucleotides) under Bacillus sp. (in: firmicutes). RNAcentral describes it as "Bacillus sp. (in: Bacteria) partial 16S ribosomal RNA". It matches the Rfam family "Bacterial small subunit ribosomal RNA", at positions 564 to 818 of the family's 1533-position model. The record is from RNAcentral. Lineage: Bacteria; Bacillati; Bacillota; Bacilli; Caryophanales; Bacillaceae.
AGCGCGCGCAGGCGGUUUCUUAAGUCUGAUGUGAAAGCCCACGGCUCAACCGUGGAGGGUCAUUGGAAACUGGGGAACUUGAGUGCAGAAGAGAAAAGCGGAAUUCCACGUGUAGCGGUGAAAUGCGUAGAGAUGUGGAGGAACACCAGUGGCGAAGGCGGCUUUUUGGUCUGUAACUGACGCUGAGGCGCGAAAGCGUGGGGAGCAAACAGGAUUAGAUACCCUGGUAGUCCACGCCGUAAACGAUGAGUGCUA